UAGGCGGCAUGAUAAGUUUGAUGNGAAAUUCCCCNGGUUCAACCGGGAGGGUUCAUUGGAAACUUUCAUGCUUGAGUGCAGAAGAGGAGAGUGGAAUUCCAUGUGUAGCGGUGAAAUGCGCAGAGAUAUGGAGGAACACCAGUGGCGAAGGCGGCUUUCUGGUCUGUAACUGACGCUGAUGUGCGAAAGCGUGGGGAUCAAACAGGAUUAGAUACCCUGGUAGUCCACGCCGUAAACGAUGAGUGCUAAGUGUUAGGGGGUUUCCGCCCCUUAGUGCUGCAGCAAACGCAUUAAGCACUCCGCCUGGGGAGUACGACCGCAAGGUUGAAACUCAAAUGAAUUGACGGGGACCCGCACAAGCGGU
RNAcentral lists this ribosomal RNA (364 nucleotides) under uncultured bacterium. Its description in RNAcentral is "bacterial SSU rRNA". It matches the Rfam family "Bacterial small subunit ribosomal RNA", at positions 572 to 933 of the family's 1533-position model. The record is from RNAcentral.